RNAcentral lists this ribosomal RNA (255 nucleotides) under uncultured bacterium. Its description in RNAcentral is "partial 16S ribosomal RNA". It matches the Rfam family "Bacterial small subunit ribosomal RNA", at positions 524 to 776 of the family's 1533-position model. The record is from RNAcentral.
UACGAAGGGGGGCUAGCGUUGCUCGGAAUCACUGGGCGUAAAGGGUGCGUAGGCGGUCGCGCAAGUCGGAUGUGAAAUCUCAGGGCUCAACCCUGAAACUGCAUUCGAUACUGCGUGGCUAGAGUGCUGGAGAGGAGACUGGAAUUUACGGUGUAGCAGUGAAAUGCGUAGAUAUCGUAAGGAAGACCAGUGGCGAAGGCGAGUCUCUGGACAGCAACUGACGCUGAGGCACGAAGGCCAGGGGGAGCAAACGGG